GCUGGUGAUCACAUCCACAAAGUUAACCUGCUGAUCGCAGAUGAUGCGCGUGAUGCGCUGGCGAUCCUCGUGGGUCAGCAUGUUGAUGUAGUUAUGCGCCAGCUCAUUACUGAGGAUGUUCACGCCGUCACUGAUGCGCAAAAUAGAGAUGCCGACCGGUGCCGACGCCACAAUUUUGUGGUUGAACUGCUCGUUCUCCUCCAGCCGGAAAGCGUUCUCUUCCGCCGGGAAGAACAUUUUGCGCUCAAACAGCCACGCCAGCGUGAACAGCAGGAUCGCCGAGAAGAUGUUCAGCAGGAAGGCGUUGAGGAUCAGGAUUUUAAAGCGGUCCAGCAGGGUGCGCACCGGCAGCGAGUAGACAAUGCUGAGCGUUGACGGUUGCAGGCUCUUUUUCAUGAUCAGGUCGUUAUACCCGUUCACGUAGCCAAAGUAGCUGGCGGCGUCCGGGUAGCGGCCCAGCAUCGAGAUGUAGCGCUCCCCU
RNAcentral lists this non-coding RNA (481 nucleotides) under Chimaeribacter arupi. The record is from RNAcentral. Lineage: Bacteria; Pseudomonadati; Pseudomonadota; Gammaproteobacteria; Enterobacterales; Yersiniaceae.